RNAcentral lists this transfer RNA (71 nucleotides) under Stegodyphus mimosarum. It matches the Rfam family "tRNA". From Rfam's summary of the family: Transfer RNA (tRNA) molecules are approximately 80 nucleotides in length. Their secondary structure includes four short double-helical elements and three loops (D, anti-codon, and T loops). The record is from Rfam by way of RNAcentral. Lineage: Eukaryota; Metazoa; Arthropoda; Arachnida; Araneae; Eresidae.
GCGUACGUGGUGUAACGGUAGCACACUCAGUGCGCAUUCGAGAGGUCCAGGUUCGAAUCCCGGCGAGAGCA